CCUACGGGUGGCAGCAGUGAGGAAUAUUGGUCAAUGGACGAGAGUCUGAACCAGCCAAGUAGCGUGAAGGAUGACUGCCCUAUGGGUUGUAAACUUCUUUUAUAUGGGAAUAAAAUGUUCCACGUGUGGGAUUUUGUAUGUACCAUAAGAAUAAGGAUCGGCUAACUCCGUGCCAGCAGCCGCGGUAAUACGGAGGAUCCGAGCGUUAUCCGGAUUUAUUGGGUUUAAAGGGAGCGUAGGUGGAUUGUUAAGUCAGUUGUGAAAUUUUGCGGCUCAACCGUAAAAUUGCAGUUGAAACUGGCAGUCUUGAGUACAGUAGAGGUGGGCGGAAUUCGUGGUGUAGCGGUGAAAUGCUUAGAUAUCACGAAGAACUCCGAUUGCGAAGGCAGCUCACUGGACUGCAACUGACACUGAGGCUCGAAAGUGUGGGUAUCAAACAGGAUUAGAUACCCCUGUAGUC
RNAcentral lists this ribosomal RNA (460 nucleotides) under uncultured bacterium. RNAcentral's name for it is "partial 16S ribosomal RNA". It matches the Rfam family "Bacterial small subunit ribosomal RNA", at positions 338 to 795 of the family's 1533-position model. The record is from RNAcentral.